GACGAACGCUGGCGGCGCGCUUAAUACAUGCAAGUCGAGCGAGAACCAGUCCUUCGGGACUGGGGAAAGCGGCGAACGGGUGAGUAACACGUGGGUAAUCUGCCCUCGGCACUGGGAUAGCCCGGGGAAACCCGGAUUAAUACCGGAUAGCCUUUCGAGCCUUCGGGCUCGUCAGAAAAGGUGGCUUCGGCUUCCGGCUGAGGAUGAGCCCGCGGCGGAUUAGCUUGUUGGUGAGGUAAUGGCUCACCAAGGCUCCGAUCUGUAGCUGGUCUGAGAGGACGAUCAGCCACACUGGGACUGAGACACGGCCCAGACUCCUACGGGAGGCAGCAGUAGGGAAUAUUGCACAAUGGGCGCAAGCCUGAUGCAGCGACGCCGCGUGGGGGAUGAAGGCCUUCGGGUUGUAAACUCCUUUCGCCAUUGACGAAGCCCUUUGGGGUGACGGUAGGUGGAGAAGAAGCACCGGCUAACUACGUGCCAGCAGCCGCCGUAAUAC
RNAcentral lists this ribosomal RNA (496 nucleotides) under uncultured bacterium. RNAcentral describes it as "bacterial SSU rRNA". It matches the Rfam family "Bacterial small subunit ribosomal RNA", at positions 28 to 526 of the family's 1533-position model. The record is from RNAcentral.